Molecule: ribosomal RNA, 460 nt
Filed under: uncultured bacterium
Lineage: Bacteria
Description: partial 16S ribosomal RNA
Rfam family: Bacterial small subunit ribosomal RNA
Source: RNAcentral
CCUACGGGCGGCAGCAGUGAGGAAUAUUGGUCAAUGGACGGAAGUCUGAACCAGCCAUGCCGCGUGCAGGAAGACGGCUCUAUGAGUUGUAAACUGCUUUUGUACAAGGCUAAACCUGAAUACGGGUAUUCAGCUGAAAGUACUGUACGAAUAAGGAUCGGCUAACUCCGUGCAAGCAGCCGCGGUAAUAAGGCGGAUCCAAGCGGUAUACGGAUUUAGUGGGUUUAAAGGGUGCGUAUGCGGAUUUAUAAGUGAGAGGUGAAAUGUCCGAGCUUAACUCGGGAACUGCCUCUACUACUGUUGAUCUAGAGAGUAGAUGCGGUAGGCGGAAUGUAUGGUGUAGCGGUGAAAUGCUUAGAGAUCAUACAGAACACCGAUUGCGAAGGCAGCUUACCAAUCUAUAUCUGACGUUGAGGCACGAAAGCGUGGGGAGCAAACAGGAUUAGAUACCCUAGUAGUC